This 164-nucleotide unclassified non-coding RNA is filed under the name uncultured Helotiales. RNAcentral describes it as "sequence contains ITS1". Lineage: Eukaryota; Fungi; Ascomycota; Leotiomycetes; Helotiales. The record is from RNAcentral.
CAGAGAAAUUGCCCUUUGGGGUAGAUCUCCCACCCUUUGUUUACAUUACCUUUGUUGCUUUGGCAGGCCCGUCCUUUCGACCACCGGCUUAGGCUGGUCCGCGCCUGCCAGAGGACCCUAAACUCAUGAUUUUGUGUUGUCUGAGUAAUAUAAAAUAAGUUUUA